GCAUCGGUGGUGUAGUGGUAAGCACGCGUCCCCGGUAUGGAUGAAACGAGGGCUCGACUCCCACCUGAGGCC
Molecule: non-coding RNA, 72 nt
Organism: Parelaphostrongylus tenuis
Lineage: Eukaryota; Metazoa; Nematoda; Chromadorea; Rhabditida; Metastrongylidae
Source: the annotation of a GenBank genome assembly